UGGGGAAUAUUGCACAAUGGGCGCAAGCCUGAUGCAGCCAUGCCGCGUGUAUGAAGAAGGCCUUCGGGUUGUAAAGUACUUUCAGCGGGGAGGAAGGCGAUAAGGUUAAUAACCUUGUCGAUUGACGUUACCCGCAGAAGAAGCACCGGCUAACUCCGUGCCAGCAGCCGCGGUAAUACGGAGGGUGCAAGCGUUAAUCGGAAUUACUGGGCGUAAAGCGCACGCAGGCGGUCUGUCAAGUCGUAUGUGAAAGCCCCGGGCUCAACCUGGGAACUGCAUUCGAAACUGGCAGGCUAGAGUCUUGUAGAGGGGGGUAGAAUUCCAGGUGUAGCGGUGAAAUGCGUAGAGAUCUGGAGGAAUACCGGUGGCGAAGGCGGCCCCCUGGACAAAGACUGACGCUCAGGUGCGAAAGCGUGGGGAGCAAACA
This 427-nucleotide ribosomal RNA is filed under the name uncultured bacterium. RNAcentral's name for it is "partial 16S ribosomal RNA". It matches the Rfam family "Bacterial small subunit ribosomal RNA", at positions 355 to 774 of the family's 1533-position model. The record is from RNAcentral.